UUUAUCCUUGUCAAUGUAUUAGUUAGAUGUAUAUAAUAUUAGGUCAUCAGCAUUUCUUAACUCACAUUUCCUUUCGGCCGGAAGUUGGUGUUCGUCGUUCUCAAAUUACAUUUCUCAUCGGCGUUUCACAGUCGAUGAAAUAACUUUUUCUGGGAAAAUCACGAAAACCUGUCCCAGAAUCCGACUCCUUCUUUCCUCUUCUCCCCACACCCUUCUUUCGAGCUAAUUACUACUUUGUGUGCAGAAGCAUCCGUCGUCGGCGGUUAGAAAUGGGCGAGAUCGUCCCAUUCAUAGACCUCAACCUCUCUCCGACUCCGGCCGUUCCCAACGGCGGCACAAGCUCAGCUCCUGGUGGUGCUACCUCCCAACGGCGGCACCAGCUCAGCUCCUGGUGGUGCUACCGCAGCGACUCCAUCAUUUAUGAAGGUACCCAAAAUCGAACCAAAGCUGGAACCACUGGAGGAGAGCCCACUCGAAAUCCAGCAGCUCCUUCAAGAGCAACCGGACUCUUACUUCCAAGACUCAAUCCCUUUGAACUUCUACUCCGAUU
RNAcentral lists this long non-coding RNA (550 nucleotides) under Linum usitatissimum (flax). RNAcentral's name for it is "long non-coding RNA (LUSI_LNC006702)". Lineage: Eukaryota; Viridiplantae; Streptophyta; Magnoliopsida; Malpighiales; Linaceae. The record is from RNAcentral.